This 124-nucleotide microRNA precursor is filed under the name Jatropha curcas. The record is from RNAcentral. Lineage: Eukaryota; Viridiplantae; Streptophyta; Magnoliopsida; Malpighiales; Euphorbiaceae.
AGGACAAGAGCCUUUUCGAUUAGCUAAGGAGACUGCCUAGGAACAAAAACAAGAAUUUCUACUUAUUUUUGAAGAAUUAAGUUGCAGGCAAGUCAUCAUUGGCUACCAAACCAUACUCUUAUCU